This 340-nucleotide unclassified non-coding RNA is filed under the name uncultured Pezizaceae. RNAcentral's name for it is "sequence contains ITS1". The stretch from base 1 to 106 matches the Rfam family "5.8S ribosomal RNA", at positions 49 to 154 of the family's 154-position model. Lineage: Eukaryota; Fungi; Ascomycota; Pezizomycetes; Pezizales; Pezizaceae. The record is from RNAcentral.
UGAAAUGCGAUAAGUAAUGUGAAUUGCAGAAUCUCGUGAAUCAUUGAAUCUUUGAACGCACAUUGCGCCCUAUGGUAUUCCGUAGGGCAUGCCUGUCUGAGCGUUAGCUCACACCCCUCAAACUACUUUAUUGUUGGUUUGGAUGACUUUGGGAAAGCAUUAUUUUUCUUAUGCCUCUCAGAAAUCUAUAGGCGGUACGGUUCCAACAAAACCAGAACGUAGUAAUUAAUUUUUAUAUCGUUCGUUUAUAUUUUGGAGGAGCUGUUGGCUUGCCUUUUGAACCCACAUAUUCAUUCUUAGGAAUAACCUCAGAUCAGGUAGGGAUACCCGCUGAACUUAA